GAGCGGCCAGGGAUGGGGCGUGGUCCCUGGGGGGAGCCAACGCGAGGGGCGGUGCGGGGUCUGAGGGUCGCGAGCGUCCAGCAGGGACCCCCGCUCCCCAUCCACUGCGUCCCACCAAGGUCGCCGCUGCCCUCGGUCUUGCUAGGGCCAGCGGGCCGCGGACUGUCAGCCGGUGUGGCGUCCCCUCCCUCAGACCCCCGAAUUCGGGACAAGCGGCUUCGGGGGUGGGGCCAAGUUCUGCCCAGAGCUGUCUCUCCCGGGCCGUGGUGAGGGGUGGUCUGGGGCCGGUUCUGCGGCAGGGGGCGCCAGGAGCCUAGAGGAUGCUGCGCACCCUGAAUUAACCAAGACUUUCUCUGAGAACCAGCUAGAACCCCUGGGGCCUCUCUAGGAAAGCGAAUGCCGCAGGUGGGGGUUGGGCUAAGGCGGGACCUCAGUUGGGAGACGCCCCGCACAGCACUGCAGUCCGCCUCAGUGGGUGGAGCCCCCCAUAGUGCACACUGGGAAAGCUUCUGAUCCCUCAGGACCUCCGGUUCCCCCACCCACUCCCCGCCAGCCAGAUGAGGGUGCCCCUGGACCCUGCUUCUCUCUGCACUGCUCCCCGUUAAAUUCCCUGGGGAGGAAAAAAAAAACCCAAACGAAUUCUCCCCGGAGCAGCAACCUUGAGUCUAGUUAGUGUUUAGGCUUCUCACUGAGAAAUCGUUCAACAUAUUCUUCUGGGCCAGCGUAGAUGGAGGGAGAGGAGUCUAGGGUUUGGACAGGUGGGAUUGCGGGAGAGCGGUGAGCAGGGGACGGCGGGGUAGGGGUGGGGUGAGAGUGGUAGUGGAGGUGCACUCCACCUUUGGUUGAGGCCCCCUCUACACAGUUUGUUGGCUUCCUUUCUCAGAGCACCAAGGCAGGGGCGAGGGGCGAGGGAGGAGGGGCGGGUAUUGAACCCAUCUGGCUCAGAACCCCUGGAAGGGAGACAGAUUGUGCCUGUCUUGAUGCCUCUGGACCCGCGCCCUAUUGCUGGGUUCUCUGAGGCCCGGACCCUGACUGCUGAUGUGUGUCACCCCCAUGCCCACCCCAGGCAUGUCCUCUUCUGUGAAGGUGCUGGGUCAGGCCAGACCCUCAGACUCCUGCAAGCUGGCUGAUGGUCCCCUGAGGCUGUGCAGAGGAGGCUGACCAUCCUGGACUGGCUGCUGGACUCUUCUGUGCAGUGGCUGAAGAUGAACUUCAUUGCUGGGCUCUCGGUCAGGCUCAAGGUCAUCCCCCAGGUGCUGGCCUGUGCUGAGGUGGCCUGACUCCCGCCCCAGUACAGCCUCUACUCUGCCUUCAUGGGUGCUUCCUGUAGUUUGUCCUGGACAUCUCCUGGGAUGUGACUCUGGGCCCCACAGCUGUCAUGUCCCUCCUGGUCUCCUGAUACACCUUUCCUGAGCCCGCCUGUGCUGUGCUGCUGGCCUGCUUAUGGGGCUGCGUGCAGUGAGCCCUGGGGCUCCUGCUCUUGGCCCACGUCCACCCAUGUCCUCUGGGAUGAGGCAAAGCUGUGACCACCUCGGCAUUCCCCUUGGCCGGCCAGGGUUCCUGCUGGACUUCAUCUCCUGCCCCAUCAGUCAUUAAAGGUUUCACCUCUGCUGCUCCCAUCACCAUGGGCUUCAGGCAGAUCCAGCACAGUGAAUGUCACGCUGCACAUUCUGUCCUGCCUUUUGUGAACAGUUCUAGUCUCAGUGCAGUUUUCAUGCCAUUUGCUGAACUGUUUGUGUCCACAUGUCACACACACCACUCAGGAGCUGCUACUGUCACCACUGGCUUCCGGCAGAUCAAGGUAGGCACACUGUUGAGCACCAGGGCACCUGCAGGGUAGCAGGACCAAGGCUGGGUCCUGAUAUGUGUGGGUCAGUCGACAUCUUGCUGUUCCAGAACUGGAAGCACGUGGUGCUCGCAUGCAUCUCCAUAAAUAAAGUGACCCCUCAGGGGAGCUGUUGGGUGAAGGUCAGAUUGUGUAACAGGUAGUUUGGGGAGAGGUAAUGACGGCCCCCGCUCUGGGUGGAGUUUCCUGCCAGUGCGCUUGGUUCCCUCACGCAGUGGUUCUGUUCUGCUGCCUCUACUGCACACUCAGCCGGCAGCCUUCACAGGUCACGAGUGUCCUGCCAAGAUUUCCACAAGCAAAUGCUUCCCCCGCUUCAGGAGAUAAAGCACAUGCUGCUGUUCCAGCUUCUUCGCAGGGUUUUGCCUCCUCCUAGCAACGGUCACAGCAACAAUGUCUGCAAGUUGAAUGAGCAUCUGAAAUGCUCACUUAGCUAGAUGAUUUCCUUUUUAUGGUUUUUCCAAUUCCUUUUGAAUAUGUUUCAAAUGCCCUGCUUCAUGUUUCUAUUUAAACCUCUAUAAGAAGCACUAGGUCAGCGAUCACUGGUUAUCUGAGGACGUCAUUGGUUCUCCUUUCCCUGGGUUUGACGUUGCUGGGGGCAGGAGCUGUCUUGCUCCCAAUCAUGGCCCCCAGCGCUGUGCUUGGUACAAAGCAGGUCAGCGCUCAGGUGGGUGUGCACAAUGGACCCGAGCUGCCUUGUACAAAUGAGGCCUUGGGGCCCCUGAGUUGCAGAUCCAGGAGCACCCCCCUGCCUGGUGACCUGGUAUCCCCACCUUGCUCUCUCCAAGGCUUGGUUCCCACGGCCGGGCUCUGCUUCAGGCUGGCCCAUGCAGUCUUCCCUGAUGAAGGGCAAUGACCAGAUCAAGGCCCGGAGGAGGCGUGUGUGUGAGAAUCAAGCAGCUGACACUUCUUCCCUCUCACUCUGUGCUGGGGCUGGAUCCAACACUUUCUCUGUGUUGAAUUCUUACCACACCCCUGGGAGGGAGGUUUCUCGUCUCUCCAUUUAGAGAGGAGGAAACCCCUCAGAAAUGUGGGGAUGAGUGUGAUUUAUAUGUUAUGUACACACACGUGUCAGGAGAAGCUUGACAAAUGCUAUUUCGCGGGAUAGUCUGUCCUUUAUUCUAGAAACAGCAUCCUUCCUUUUUAAUGUCAAGAAUGUCCUUUGAUAUGAUCAUAAUGUGAGUAGAGGGCAGCUUCUUUAUGCAUUCAUACUUGGUGACUCUAGGCCCCCAAAGUCAUUAAACCUUGACUUUGUCAUGACAGCCACCUGAGAGCCCCAAGGCUGGAUUGGGGUUGGGGGCCCUCCUGACCUGCCAGGACAAAAGUGGAGGAGGCCGUGGUUGGAGGUGUCCCCUGGCUAAGUAGCUGCAACUUCUGUGGCACCAGCACCUCAGGCACCUUGGUCCUGGUGAGAGGUGUGCACCCAGGGGAGUGUAUUGUGGUCGGUGAUGGUCAUGUGAUCGGAAGGGGGACAAAGAUUGGCAUCAAGGAACACACCUUUUUGACAAAUGUGAAUGUCUUUGUUUUUGAUCACUCAUGAAAAGUACAUUAAAGCCUGAUGAAUUUUAAUAGACACAAGCCCUGAAAUGUCACUGCAGAAGUAUUGAAGUUUUCAUGAUCCUUCGUUGCUCUGCCUGCUGGUUGCGCUGAACCAUGUUUAUGUCUAUCUUCUUAUGUAGAGUUUAGCAUUAGAUUCAGGGGCAACAAAUAGCCUUUUGCAAACACUGUUGGAUUCUUUUCAGUUUUAGCCUGAAGGCAUCUGUCUCUUCUGGAAUCCACUCCAGCCACAAGGAGGAGAGUCACUCCAAUGCCUGUGAAAUGGAAUCUUCAGAAAUUUUUAGUUUUCAAACUGGGAAUCUGGAAGAAUCAAUUCCUUGUUAUUGCAAAGUAUUUAUUUCUUAAUAUUUUAGUUUUUCACGAACUGAUGCUUUUGAAAGAGAUAUUGUUUACUGGGCUGUUUGACUUUGACGUCAUCUUUGGGGGUGGAGCAGUGAUGGAUUUGGGUCCACUUUCAUAUUCAGGGUGCACAUCCAUGUGACCCAGACUCUUACACCUCUUUCUGUUUGAUGACUCCCCUGUGUUCCCCUCCCCCUGGGUGAUGAUGAUUCUUUUUGACACUUGUGAAUAUGUGUUUUUAAGCCUUAGAUGCCUUUUUUCUUCAAAUUAAAACAUGGAAAUCCUCAUGAAUAUUUCAGGAUGUCCUGAUACCUAGAAGGUUAACUAAUGGAAUUCCUCUGGGUUUUUCUUGCCCUAGUUCAGAUCCUUUAAAGUGAGUAAGCAAGAUUCUAUACUCCCUUCUGAGGGUUACUUUCUAUGUUGACCGUGCAUAAUUCAGUCUUAUUCAUUGUAACAGCUUGAGUAAGAUGUAGUUCACAUACAAUACAAGCCACACUUGAAGGUGUGCAAUUCAGGGUUUUUUAGUGUAUUCACAGAAUUGUGCAAUGUCACCACAAUCGAUUCUGGAAGCUUUCUGUCAUCCCUCCAAAAGAAACACCUUCCUCAUUAGGAGACAGUCCCAUUUCCCUUCACUUCUAAGGCCUAGACAAACACAAAUUCACUUUACAUUUCUAUGGGCGGGCCUAUUUUGAACAUUCCAUAUAAAUGGAACCAUAUAAAAUGUGACCUUUUGCGUCUGGCUUCCUUCACUGAGCAUAAUGGUUUCCAGGUCUGUCCAUGUUGUGGCAUGUGUCAGCCUUUUCUUUCUUUUUGAUUGCUGAAUAAUAUCCAUUGUACGGCUGUAGCACAGUGUAUUUCUCCUUUCCUCAGUUGAGGAACAUUUGGAUUGUGGCCACUUUUUGGCUAUUAUGAAUAAUGCUGCUGUGAACAUUGUUGUAUAAGUCUUUGCACAGACAUCUGCUUUCAUUUCUUUGGGUUUAUAACUAAGAGUGGAAUUGCUGGGUCAGAUGGUAACUCUCCGUUUCACUAUUUGAAUACUCAGAAGACUUUUUUCUAAAGUGACUGCACCAUUUUACCUUCCUGCCAGCCGUGUGUGAGGGUUCCAGUUUCUCCACUUACCAUCUGUCUUUUUGAUCAUAGCCGUCCUAUGGGUGGGAAAUGAUAUCUCGCUGUGGUUUGGAUUGAUAUUUCUCUGAUGGCUCAUGAUGUUGGACAUCUUUUCCUGUGCUUAACGACCAUUUGUAUAUCUUCUCUGGAGAAAUGUCUGUUCAGCUCAUUGGCCCAUUUUUAAAUUGGAUUUUUAAAAAAAUAACUGAGUUGUAACACUUCUUUAUAUAUUCUAGGUAUAUUUCUUAUUGGGUAUAUCAGUUGCAAAUUUUUCUCUUUAUUGUGGAUUGUCUUUUCACAUUCUUAACGGUGUCCGAUGGAUCCAGAAAGUUUUACAUUUUAGUGGUGUCCAAUUUAUGCACAAUAGAGUCUUACGAGUUGGAAAUCAUUUAGACAUUAAAUCAUAUCCUCAUCAAUAUUUUGAUUAUAUAAAUUAAAAGGCAAAUAUGAAAGGGUCGGGGAAAGAUUUGAAUCUUGAAAUGUUCAUUUCAAGAUUUGCUAUAGAUCCAAAAGAACUCAUCAGGGAAGAUAUGAUUUUCCUGUUCAAAUAUUUAUUAUCCUUUUAAUGUUCAUGGAUCAGUAAUCAUAGUCCCGCUCUCAUUUCUAAUAUUAGCAAUUUACAUUUCUCUCUCUUUUUUUUCAGUUAGCCUGGAUAGAGGUUUAUCCAGUCUUUUGAUCUUUUCAAAGAACUAGUCUUGGUUUUAUCGAUUUCUCUAUUGAAUUACUGUUUUUCAGUGUCAUUGAUUUUUGCUGUAAUUUUUAUUAUUUCCUCUCUUUUGUUCUUCCUUUGUUCUUCAUCCUCUAGCUUGUUGUUUCAGAUCUUUCUUUUUUCUAAUAUGUGCAUUCUAUGCUAUGAAUUUCCCUCUGGGUCCUGCUUUCACUGCAUUCCACACAUUUUGAUUGGUCGUAUAUUCAUUUUCAUUUAGUGGAAGAUAUUUGCAGUUUCUCUUGAGACUGUUUUUUUUGCUCCAUGUGGUGUUUAAUCUGCAGAUAUUUUGGGAUUGUCCCGCUAUCUUUCUAUUUUGGUUUCCUACUUUAAAGUCCUUUUUGGUCUGAGAACGUACUCUAUUUGAUUUAUAUUGUUUUAAAUUUGCUGAGGUGUGGGAUGUUUUUUUUUAGCUGGGUGGUGUCAUCUGUGUGGUGAAUGUUGCGUGUGAGCUUUUGAAGACUGUGUAUUCUGCUUUCAUUGGAUGCAGUGUUUUAUCAAUGUUAAUUAGAUCCAGUAGAUGGAUGACAUCAUUCAGUUCAUCCUUACUGAUUUUCCGCCUGCUGCAUCUAUCAGUUACUGCUGGAGCAGUGUUUAGUGCUAUAGUGGUGGAUUUGUCUAUUUCUCCUUGCAGUUUGAUCAGUUUUUCUUCACAUAUUUUGAUGUUCUGUUGUUAGAUGCAUGUAUGUUGAGGACUGUUGUCUUCUUGUAGAAUCGACCCCUUUAACAUUAUGGGCUGCCUCUCUUUGUUCCUUAGAAUUUUCCUUGUUCCGAAGUCAGCUUUGUCUGAAAUUAAUACCUUUCUUUGGAUGUGUGUUAGCCUGGCUUAUCUUGUUCUUUCCCUUUACUCCCAACCUAUCUGUCUUUAUAAUUAAAGUGGGUUUCUGUAGACAGCGUAUAGUUGGGUCUUAUUUUUUUUUAUGUAUUCUGAUGGUCUCGGUCUCUUAAUGGCUGUAUUUAGACCAUUCUUAAUUAAGGAGAUGAUUGAUAUAGUUGGAUUAAUAUCCACCAUAUUUGCAACUGUUUUCUAUUCAUUGUCCUUGUUCUUUCUUUUUUCUGUCUUCCACUUUUUAAAUUAUUUUUUGCCUUCUCUGGUUUUUAUUGAGCAUUUUAUAUGAUUCCAUUUUUUCUUUUCUUUUAGUGUAUCAGUAAUACUGCUUUUAAAGUUUUUAAAUGGUUUCUCUAGAGCUUACAAUAUAAAUUUACAACUAACCUCAGUUCACCUUGAAAUGACACUGUG
Molecule: non-coding RNA, 6792 nt
Organism: Equus caballus (horse)
Lineage: Eukaryota; Metazoa; Chordata; Mammalia; Perissodactyla; Equidae
Source: RefSeq, a predicted model, not a curated record